Molecule: ribosomal RNA, 322 nt
Filed under: Salmonella enterica subsp. enterica serovar Adjame
Lineage: Bacteria; Pseudomonadati; Pseudomonadota; Gammaproteobacteria; Enterobacterales; Enterobacteriaceae
Description: partial 23S ribosomal RNA
Rfam family: Bacterial large subunit ribosomal RNA
Source: RNAcentral
UAAGCCUGCGAAGGUGGCCUGUGAGGGUUGCUGGAGGUAUCAGAAGUGCGAAUGCUGACAUAAGUAACGAUAAAGCGGGUGAAAAGCCCGCUCGCCGGAAGACCAAGGGUUCCUGUCCAACGUUAAUCGGGGCAGGGUGAGUCGACCCCUAAGGCGAGGCCGAAAGGCGUAGUCGAUGGGAAACGGGUUAAUAUUCCCGUACUUGGUGUUACUGCGAAGGGGGGACGGAGAAGGCUAUGUUGGCCGGGCGACGGUUGUCCCGGUUUAAGCGUGUAGGUGUGUGUUCCAGGUAAAUCCGGUUCACUUUAACACUGAGGCGUGA